GACGAACGCUGGCGGCGUGCCUAAUACAUGCAAGUAGAAGCUAGUUGCGAACGGGUGAGUAAUGUCUGGGAAACUGCCCGAUGGAGGGGGAUAACUACGCGAAAGCGUAGCUAAUACCGCAUACUAUUGGAGCGGCCGAUAUCGGAUUAGCUAGGUGGUGGGGUAACGGCUCACCAAGGCGACGAUCCGUAGCUGGUUUGAGAGGACGACCAGCAGCACUGGGACUGAGAAACGGCCCAGACUCCUACGGGAGGCAGCAGUGGGGAAUUUAGGGCAAUGGGGGAAACCCUGAUCCAGCCAUCCCGCGUGUGCGAUGAAGGCCUUCGGGUUGUAAAGCACUUUUGGCAGGAAAGCGGUACCUGCAGAAUAAGCACCGGCUAACUACGUGCCAGCAGCCGCGGUAAUAC
RNAcentral lists this ribosomal RNA (407 nucleotides) under uncultured bacterium. RNAcentral describes it as "partial 16S ribosomal RNA". It matches the Rfam family "Bacterial small subunit ribosomal RNA", at positions 28 to 526 of the family's 1533-position model. The record is from RNAcentral.